This 75-nucleotide transfer RNA is filed under the name Caudoviricetes sp. RNAcentral's name for it is "tRNA-Gly". It matches the Rfam family "tRNA". Rfam says of the family: Transfer RNA (tRNA) molecules are approximately 80 nucleotides in length. Lineage: Duplodnaviria; Heunggongvirae; Uroviricota; Caudoviricetes. The record is from RNAcentral.
GUGGGAUUCGUAUAACGGUCAGUAUUCCUGUCUUCCAAACAGGCGGUGGGAGUUCGAUUCUCCUAUCCCACACCA